RNAcentral lists this unclassified non-coding RNA (220 nucleotides) under plant metagenome. RNAcentral describes it as "partial contains small subunit ribosomal RNA, internal transcribed spacer 1, and 5.8S ribosomal RNA". The record is from RNAcentral.
UUUCCGUUGGUGAACCAGCGGAAGGAUCAUUACAGAGAUCGUGCCCUUCGGGGUAGACCUCCCACCCUGUGUUAUUUACGUAUGUUGCUUUGGCGGGCCGCCUCCGGGCUCUCGGCUUCGGCCGAGGUGUGCCCGCCAGAGAACCCACAACCCUGCGUUUAGUAUCAUCUGAGUAUUAUCAUAUAAGUUAAAACUUUCAACAACGGAUCUCUUGGUUCUG